UGAAAGAGGCAUUGCAGAGCGAUUACCCUUCAACACAGAAGAAAUUUCCUAAGAGAGUCUCAAGGUGGAAAUUCAGGUUUCAACCACAAUAUAGCACAUUGCAAACAAUUAAAAAAAUUACAUAAAGUAGAAGAGAUAAUGCAGAAGAAAUCAUCUAUAUAAUAUUCUGCAAUGAAUUGUGAGGGUACAGCUAAUGAGACUACAAUUUCCUAAUAUACCAAUUCAAUAAAUCUACCAUGUGAUCAAUAUGAUA
This 253-nucleotide unclassified non-coding RNA is filed under the name Hevea brasiliensis (rubber tree). The record is from RNAcentral. Lineage: Eukaryota; Viridiplantae; Streptophyta; Magnoliopsida; Malpighiales; Euphorbiaceae.